CUCAUUCACACGCUAACUCACCCACUCAUUCACACACUAACCCACUCGUUCACACACCCACUCAUUCACACAAUAACAUCCACUCAUUCACACACCCACUCAUUCACACACUAACUCGCCCACUCAUUCACAAACUCGCCCACUCGUUCACACUAACCCCCUCAUUCACACACCCUCACACACUCUCACACACUAACCCACUCAUUCACACACUAACCCACUCGUUCACACACCCAUUCACACUCAUCCACACAAUAACCCACCCAUUCAUGCACUAACCCACUCAUUCACACACCAACUCACCCACUCAGUCAUGCACUAACUCACCCACUCAUUCACAUACUAACCCACUCGUUCACAAACCCACUCACACACUAACUCCCUCAUUCACACACUAACCCACUCAUUCACACACUAACUCACCCACUCGUUCACACACCAAAACACUGACCCAUUCACACACUAACUCGCCCACUCAUUCACACAAACUCACCCACUCGUUCACACACUAACUCACCCACUCAUUCACACUAACUCAUUCACACAUUGACCCACCCACUCACUCAUUCACACACUAACCCGACUCAUU
Molecule: long non-coding RNA, 589 nt
Filed under: Homo sapiens (human)
Lineage: Eukaryota; Metazoa; Chordata; Mammalia; Primates; Hominidae
Description: non-protein coding lnc-SLC12A7-1:20
Source: RNAcentral